ACGAACGCUGGCGGCGCGCCUAACACAUGCAAGUCGAGCGUGAACCCCGGGGCUUGCCCUGGGGGGAAAGCGGCGAACGGGUGAGUAACACGUGAGCAACCUGCCCCGGAGACCGGGAUAACUCGAGGAAACUCGGGCUAAUACCGGAUGUCCUCGUCGGACCGCAUGAUCCGACGAGGAAAUGGAUUCCGCUCCGGGAUGGACUCGCGGCCUAUCAGCUUGUUGGUGGGGUAACGGCCUACCAAGGCAACGACGGGUAGCUGGUCUGAGAGGACGAUCAGCCACACUGGGACUGAGACACGGCCCAGACUCCUACGGGAGGCAGCAGUGGGGAAUCUUGCGCAAUGGGGGAAACCCUGACGCAGCGACGCCGCGUGCGGGAUGAAGGCCUUCGGGUCGUAAACCGCUUUCAGCAGGGACGAACAUGACGGUACCUGCAGAAGAAGCCCCGGCCAACUACGU
Molecule: ribosomal RNA, 462 nt
Filed under: uncultured bacterium
Lineage: Bacteria
Description: bacterial SSU rRNA
Rfam family: Bacterial small subunit ribosomal RNA
Source: RNAcentral